This 23-nucleotide microRNA is filed under the name Sarcophilus harrisii (Tasmanian devil). RNAcentral's name for it is "Sha-Mir-199-P3-v1_5p* (star (passenger))". RNAcentral also lists the same sequence under 2 other names. The record is from RNAcentral. Lineage: Eukaryota; Metazoa; Chordata; Mammalia; Dasyuromorphia; Dasyuridae.
CCCAGUGUUCAGACUACCUGUCC